CCCACCGGGUUAACCGGGUAAGGGCCCUGGUAGACAACCAGGUUGAUAGGCCGCAGGUGUAAGGGGAGCAAUCCCUUGAGCUGAGCGGUACUAAGAGCCCGAGGGCUUGUUCACCUAUAAC
This 121-nucleotide ribosomal RNA is filed under the name Chloroflexota bacterium. RNAcentral's name for it is "Chloroflexi bacterium partial 23S ribosomal RNA". It matches the Rfam family "Bacterial large subunit ribosomal RNA", at positions 2813 to 2925 of the family's 2925-position model. Lineage: Bacteria; Bacillati; Chloroflexota. The record is from RNAcentral.